This 164-nucleotide ribosomal RNA is filed under the name Senecio psilocarpus. RNAcentral describes it as "5.8S ribosomal RNA". It matches the Rfam family "5.8S ribosomal RNA". From Rfam's summary of the family: 5.8S ribosomal RNA (5.8S rRNA) is a component of the large subunit of the eukaryotic ribosome. It is transcribed by RNA polymerase I as part of the 45S precursor that also contains 18S and 28S rRNA. Lineage: Eukaryota; Viridiplantae; Streptophyta; Magnoliopsida; Asterales; Asteraceae. The record is from RNAcentral.
UAAACGACUCUCGGCAACGGAUAUCUCGGCUCACGCAUCGAUGAAGAACGUAGCAAAAUGCGAUACUUGGUGUGAAUUGCAGAAUCCCGUGAACCAUCGAGUUUUUGUACGCAAGUUGCGCCCGAAGCCUUUUGGCUGAGGGCACGUCUGCCUGGGCGUCACAC